This 254-nucleotide ribosomal RNA is filed under the name uncultured bacterium. RNAcentral describes it as "partial 16S ribosomal RNA". It matches the Rfam family "Bacterial small subunit ribosomal RNA", at positions 524 to 776 of the family's 1533-position model. The record is from RNAcentral.
UACGUAGGCAGCGAGCGUUGUUCGGAGUUACUGGGCGUAAAGGGUGUGUAGGCGGUUGUUUAAGUUUGGUGUGAAAUCUCCCGGCUCAACUGGGAGGGUGCGCCGAAUACUGAAUGACUUGGAGUGCGGGAGAGGAGAGUGGAAUUCCUGGUGUAGCGGUGAAAUGCGUAGAUAUCAGGAGGAACACAGGUGGUGUAGACGGCUCUCUGGACCGUAACUGACGCUGAGACACGAAAGCGUGGGUAGCAAACAGG